GAUGAACGCUGGCGGCGUGCCUAAUACAUGCAAGUCGAGCGAGCAGACGAGGAGCUUGCUCCUCUGACGUUAGCGGCGGACGGGUGAGUAACACGUGGAUAACCUACCUAUAAGACUGGGAUAACUUCGGGAAACCGGAGCUAAUACCGGAUAAUAUAUUGAACCGCAUGGUUCAAUAGUGAAAGACGGUUUUGCUGUCACUUAUAGAUGGAUCCGCGCCGCAUUAGCUAGUCGGUAAGGUAACGGCUUACCAAGGCGACGAUGCGUAGCCGACCUGAGAGGGUGAUCGGCCACACUGGAACUGAGACACGGUCCAGACUCCUACGGGAGGCAGCAGUAGGGAAUCUUCCGCAAUGGGCGAAAGCCUGACGGAGCAACGCCGCGUGAGUGAUGAAGGUCUUCGGAUCGUAAAACUCUGUUAUUAGGGAAGAACAAAUGUGUAAGUAACUAUGCACGUCUUGACGGUACCUAAUCAGAAAGCCACGGCUAACUACGUG
This 497-nucleotide ribosomal RNA is filed under the name uncultured bacterium. Its description in RNAcentral is "partial 16S ribosomal RNA". It matches the Rfam family "Bacterial small subunit ribosomal RNA", at positions 28 to 507 of the family's 1533-position model. The record is from RNAcentral.